RNAcentral lists this ribosomal RNA (1516 nucleotides) under Megaloceroea recticornis. Its description in RNAcentral is "SSU rRNA". It matches the Rfam family "Eukaryotic small subunit ribosomal RNA", at positions 396 to 1804 of the family's 1831-position model. The record is from RNAcentral. Lineage: Eukaryota; Metazoa; Arthropoda; Insecta; Hemiptera; Miridae.
CUGAGAACGGCUACCCAUCCAAGGAAGGCAGCAGGCACGCAAAUUACCCACUCCCGGCACGGGGAGGUAGUGACAAAAAAUAACGAUACGGGACUCUUUUGAGGCCCCGUAAUCGGAAUGAGUACACUUUAAAUCCUUUAACAAGGAUCCAUUGAAGGGCAAGUCUGGUGCCAGCAGCCGCGGUAAUUCCAGCUUCAAUAGCGUAUAUUAAAGUUGUUGCGGUUAAAAAGCUCGUAGUUGGUUCUGCGUGCUACGCUGUCGGUUCGCCGCCUGCCGGUGUAACUGGCAUGCCGUGUCAUGUCCUGUCGGUGGCGUGCGGGUCCCUUGUCUAGGCGACGGCUCUCGCCCUUAAAGCUUGAGUCCGGAGGCCGGAGGUCAAACCCGUGCGCCUGCUCUCUCCUACCUAGGUGCUCUUUACCGAGUGUCGAGGUAGGCCGACACGUUUACUUUGAACAAAUUAGAGUGCUCAAAGCAGGCUGAAAUCUCUGCCUGAAUAGUGGUGCAUGGAAUAAUAAAACAGGACCUUGGUUCUAUUUUGUUGGUUCUUAGGAACACAAGGUAAUGAUCAAUACGGACAGGCGGGGGCAUUCGUAUUGCGACGUUAGACUUGGCAAAUGCUUUCGCGGUGAAAUUCUUGGAUCGUCGCAAGACGCACAAGAGCGAAAGCAUUUGCCAAGUAUGUCUUGAUUGAUCAAGAACGAAAGUUAGAGGUUCGAAGGCGAUCAGAUACCGCCCUAGUUCUAACCAUAAACGAUGCCAGCCAGCGAUCCGCCGAUGUUCCUCCGAUGACUCGGCGGGGAGCUUCUUCCCGGGAAACCAAAGCUUUUGGGUUCCGGGGGAAGUAUGGUUGCAAAGCUGAAACUUAAAGGAAUUGACGGAAGGGCACCACCAGGAGUGGAGCCUGCGGCUUAAUUUGACUCAACACGGGAAACCUCACCAGGCCAGGACAUUGGAAGGAUUGACAGAUUGAUAGCUCUUUCUUGAUUCAGUGGGUAGUGGUGCAUGGCCGUUCUUAGUUGGUGGAUCGAUUUGUCUGGUUAAUUCCGAUAACGAACGAGACUCUAGCCUAUUAACUAGGCGUUUUCCGGUGUCCCCGCCACCGGCGACAAUCAUUCUUCUUAAGGGGACAGGCGGCUUAUAGCCGCACGAGAUUGAGCAAUAACAGGUCUGUGAUGCCCUUAGAUGUCCUGGGCCGCACGCGCGCUACACUGAAGGAAUCAGCGUGUGCCUCCCAGGCCGAAAGGCCCGGGUAAUCCGCUGAACCUCCUGCGUGCUAGGAAUUGGGGCUUGCAAUUGUUCCCCAUGAACGAGGAAUUCCCAGUAAGCGCGAGUCAUAAGCUCGCGUUGAUUACGUCCCUGCCCUUUGUACACACCGCCCGUCGCUACUACCGAUUGAAUGAUUUAGUGAGGUCUUCGGACUGGCGGCCAUCCCUAUUGACUUGUCUUUAUCGAUGAGCGCUGGGAAGAUGACCAAACUUGAUCAUUUAGAGGAAGUAAAAGUCGUAACAAGGUUUCC